Molecule: non-coding RNA, 3688 nt
Organism: Heterocephalus glaber (naked mole-rat)
Lineage: Eukaryota; Metazoa; Chordata; Mammalia; Rodentia; Bathyergidae
Source: RefSeq, a predicted model, not a curated record
AAACUCUUGGAACGCCGCGGAGGGGCGGGCGGGCCUGCCUGCACGGGCGUUGCGUGCGGGCUAGCGUUGUUGCGGCGCUUUUCUCUACCUCUCCUGGCUUGGACUAUCCAAGGUGCUUGAACCAGCAGGCUGCAAAGACAGUGUGCUCAGGGAGGAAAUUUGGGUGCUACUCUGUUCUGCCGUGUGUGUGUGUGUGUGUGUGUGUGUGUGUGUGUGUGUGUCUGUGUGUUUCUUCCUUGCAGAGCAAAGAAUGGAACUAGCUUGAGUACAUUUUAGCUCGUGGGGGUUUCGGGCUGGACUGCAAAGAGCUCCUCCUGCUGUCCCUCUGGUUGCAUUGCUGCAGUCCCCAAGCUUCUUGCACCAGUGAAGAUUGUGUGCCGGGGGCGGGAUGGGGGGGGGGGCAGGUAGUUUUCAUACCUCGUUGCCUGAUUUUUACUGCGCAAGGGGUCUGCCGGGCAAGGCAUUCAUAUCUGAAAGCUGGAGUGCUUAUUAAUGAAGAAUGACUUCCAUUGAAGCCCAGGGUAGGCGUGUUAUGAAUCUGGCGCAUCCAGAAGCACAGGAAAUAACUCCCGCUGCGAGUGCGGUUGCAUAACUAUAGCGCAGGAGAUGCCUCUGUGCCCGAACUGCUUCAGAGGGAGGCGGAACUGUACUGAAUAGGCAGCUGUCACGUUUGCAUUGGUAGAGGACAAAUACGUAUUCAUCUCAACAGAUUUUUGCCCAGAAACCUGACGUUUCGGGUUGGAGCCUAGGGUCUGUCUGACGGAGGACUCGGAGCUCCCGGCUUUGCAAAUUCUCUUUAUCUAGAAACCCAGUCUGGGGCCUGGGGCCAGAAUCCCAAGCUCUGCCAAGUUCGUGAACAUCUUCCCAGGCGUCAGUCUGACUGGGGGAAAUUCUUUUCACGUCUCAGGUUUGUCUGACCUGAGAAUGAAGGUUGCUGCUCCAGCCACCUGGAGGAGUAGAAUGGUUCCAGAAGAAGAAGAAAGAGAACUUCCCCCACUCCUGCCAUCUGCUUAAGCUCGGAUUGUUCGCCGGAGGAACAUGCACGCUACUGUUAACAUUUUCUGUAUACACAGUAGUGCUUGAUGUUUGAAGAAUGAACGAAGGAGCGAAACCAAUCAUUGACCCCCCCCCCCAGUCCCCUUAAUUUCUGAGGUUUGUUUAUGUAACUGGCUUCCCGCCUCAGCAGGUCCCAACUGAGAGCAAAGAAAGCGGACUGUUCCUGACGAGAAAUGGUGAGGGGAGGGAGGUCUGAAACAGGGAUCUUUAACCUGGAACUCCCUUCGAUACUCCUGCCUCAGCCUUGAGUACUGGGCUUACAGGUGUGGGCCACCAUGCCUGGUUUUAACUUGGCCUUUUAGACUUGUCUCUGUGAAGAAUCUAGGGUUGUUGAUUCAGGCCUAUUUUUCCACUGCUACCUCUAAGGUCAGGUUUGAAUAAAGACCCAUUAUAGUAUUUAUAUUUUAGCUCUUAAGCAAAUUCCUUAAACGCUAUUCCUGUAUAUGAUGGGAAUAAUAGCAUCUAACUAAGAGCUGUGGAACAGAUUGAGAUAAUUUACAUAAAGCAUUUAGUGUAAGAGUUCAUGGUAAGAACUCAGUAAAUCUUAUUUACUAUUUUGUACAACAGAGAUAAUAAACUCCAUGGUACAGUGGUGGCAGUUGCUCUGAAGGUUAAAUGUAACUCGUUCAGUAUUGUUUAUUCAUUCAAAUCACCAUCGGUCAUCUUAUGUGUAACCCCCUUGCUAGAUACGUGACCUGGUCCUCAGUGGGCCACCAAUAAUGAUCACUAUUAGUUAAAAUUAACUUGGGCUGAUGUGGUGGCACACACCUGUAGUCUGAGCACUUCAGGAGACUGAGGCAGGAAGACCGCACAUUCAAACCCAACCUGGGUGACUAAAUGACAGUGAGAUCCUGUCUACCUGUUUAGGAAUAAAAAAUUAGGUCUGUGUGUGGAGAUGCAUGCCUGUAAUCUCAGCUCUGGAAGACUGAGGCAGGAGGAUGAAAGUUUUAACCAGCCUGGGAAAUUUAGUGACUUAGUGAGAACUUGUCUCAAAAAUAAAAAAGGUCUGGGCCUCGGAUGUAGCUCAGUGCCUACCUAGCAAGGGCAAGGUCCUGCGUUCAAUCCCUGGUGCCACAAAAAAAUUUUUUUCAAUAAAGGACAGAACAUGUAGCAGUGCAGACUCUGGGUUCAAUCCCAACUACCAUAAUAAAUAAACAAAAAUGUUCGUAAAAGGACUGGGGAUGUAGCUCAAUGUGAAGGCCCUAUGCUUAGUCUCCAUUACCUAAAUAAAUAAGUAAAUAAAUAUAAAAUAAUAAAGUUGGUCAUUUGCAAAGCCAUCUUUCACUUUUGAAGAUGUGCUUCUCUUUGUUUUAGUCAGUGCAUUGGGAAAUCAUUAAUACCAGUUUUGGGAGAAGAUAUGAAAAGUAUCUUCAUGUCAUGUGCCAGUCUGUGUACUGGCCACUUUUGUAUGCAUUGCUUACCAGCAGGAACAAGACGUGAUCAAUAGCCCAAAGGAAUGCUUUUUAGAUUGUUCUAAAUCCCACCACCAAGACAAGUCACCAAAACAUUCACACUACCUUUGGUGGUCCCCAUGCCAUGGCAUUUUAGGACACUUUUGUACCCUCCACCUUUUAUUUUGGCCAUGCUGGGGAUUAGACCCAGGAACUUCACACUGACCUGCAUCUCCAAACCCUUUUUAUUUUUUAUUUUGAGAUAAGGUGCUGGUCUGGGCUUGAACUUUGCAUUCUCCUGGCUCAGCCUCCCAGAGGGCACUUUUAUGCCCUUUUUAACAGUGCAUUUAUUGCUUUUUUUUCUCUUACCACGUUGUUGACAAUCUUACCAGCUGUUUUAGAAAUUGUCCUGCUCUGGGCGGAGCUCUGAGUCUUCAGCUGUGAAACAGUGUGAUCCUACAGUGACACUCAGAUCCUUGGAGUCUUCUAGUCUGCCCUAGAGGUCGCCCUGAACUCAAGUGGCUUUGCCCCUCCCCUCUCCUGGUGCCUGGACUUUCCAAGGGACACAAUUUCCAGUGAACUUGAAACUACAGUCUGAAAAAAAUCAUAUGCAAAAAAUGAGGCUCCUUGCUGCUGCAGGAUUCAGAAAGAACCGUGCAUCUUGGAAGACAUUUCAGGAACCUCCAGGAAAACCCAGAGACAACAGAGAGACAGAAACAAGGACAGCAGAGGUUUGUGACAGUUAAGCUGGACUAUUGACUUUUUUCACUUGAGAGCUGCCAGAAGUUUUAUCAGGUAAUUGGCACUGAAAGAACAAAAAAGAAAACAAAAAAGUGUCUCCUUCUGGGAAAGAAGUAGGGAAGUCUACUAAGGAAGAAAGUUUAGAUUCCAACCAUCUGGGUUCAGUGCAACCAUUGUCAAGGUGAGCAGAGCUCACCAUUUUCCUCCUUCUGUGCCAACCUCCUGAGUCUGGCUGCUGAGGAGCGCUCAUGAUUUCUCUCACACAAGGCCAUCAAGAGAAGAGAAGGAGCUGGUUUCAUCUGCAGGCCAAGGCUUUUAAGAAGUGAAUGUGGCUUCCCCUAGCUCUGCUUCUCCUUUCCCUGGAUGGAUACAGUUGACAAGAGGGACCUCAGUGUGCAAGACACCUAAAUCCCUGAAAUACUUCAUAGAGGAAAAUGACCAUAGAUCUGAAACAUUAUUUUAAUCAUUUAAUAAAAGGAAAAGAAACCUUUAUUUUUUGA